RNAcentral lists this long non-coding RNA (1481 nucleotides) under Oryzias javanicus (javanese ricefish). Its description in RNAcentral is "lncRNA (ENSOJAG00000016298.1)". The record is from RNAcentral. Lineage: Eukaryota; Metazoa; Chordata; Actinopteri; Beloniformes; Adrianichthyidae.
AGUCCCAGCCCACCAGAGUCCCUCCGGGAGAGAGCAGCGCGCAGAUCCUUCAGUGUUUGUGAGUGGGAUAGAGAGAGUGAGAGAAGGCGGUGUGUCAUUCUGGCAGGACGCACAGGAGAAACAACUGGACUUGUUGAAGCUGCUCUGAUUUUCUUCGUAAUAGUUUGUUUAGCGGUGCUCGCGGAUACAAAAACAUUAUUGGUUUUAGUCGUUUGAUGUUGCAACGCGUCGCAUGCUGCCGAUUCCCACUGGCGUGAACGCGCGCAAAGUGCCGGGAGACACAACAAACACGAGGAGGGGGUUGUGUUGGUGCCAGGCUCGCUGGCAGACUACCAUGGCCUUGAGCGAUACAAGUGGCGACCCUUUGGCCCUCGGCUGCAGAAACCAACAUCCUCUUGUUGCCAAAGGAAGCGCUCACUCAGGCACCAGCACGGCAGUCGGCAGCAGUCGGGACCCACUUACAGCUGCUUCCAGUCCUGAUGACCACCCAGCGGAAGGAGGUGAAGACGCUACGGUUUUGGCUGAAGCCCAAACUUUGCAGCAGAGGUCGCACGGCGUCCAGAGAGCCGACAGGCCGUGUCAAAAUGGUGGCACGCUCAAACAAAACGGCACUCCGAGGAGCAUUGCGCCGUCGCCUUCCUCCUUCCCCGCUCCAGACGCCAAAAGAGGGGUUGGUCACCACUAUUCCUCCCCGACAUGUUCUCCUCCUCUCCAGCCUGUCUCCUGCCAGCACUGCCACCUCCACUCCGCCCUGUGCUGCCCCUGCGGGCAGCAGGAUUGCCCGAUUUUCAAAAGCCAGGGGACGAGUUCGGGAUCCAGCUCCAGUCCCAGUCCCGGAUCACACCCAGGAACUGCUUCAUGCUGCCUGUCCGCCUGCACCUACUGUCAUCUGCAUCCUCAUCACCCAUCGCCACAGCUCUCCCUGCAUCAUCACCAGCGCUGGCAGGAGCACCUCCAGAGCCAAACACAAGCAGCGGGCAUCAGGUAGGUUCUCCUCGUCUCUCAUGAUCCCAGGCUUUCAAUGCUAAAGUGGUGCAAAUCUUGCUCCAGGCGUUCUCUUUCACAGCUCAAUUCCUAUUUAUGAAAGACUGGGUGCCAAAUAAUUCUGGCCGGGCACACGAUCAGGGAAAAGGGAUGUUGUUCAUUCACCGCAACCAAAUCUGAGUCCCUGAUUGGUCAAAGUUCAACUUAGUUUAACUUUUAAUGCGCGCUCAAUAGCUGCAUGUUUUGUACGUAGAUUCCAGAAACUAUUGCAAAAACGUGGAUAACUAUGCUUCAUUUAUCAACAGUUUUGAAUGCAGAAGCCCAAAACAUACGUCUAUAUUGACUUUUCAUUGGAAGUGGCCGCUUAAAUGUGAUUUCAGUGUGAACGAAGCUUUAAACAAAAUAAAUCACAUGAAGGAUUUUUAAUGUAGAUUUAAAACUUUUUGCUGAAAUAAGAACUGAAAGCAUAAAAAUUUGUAGAUUAUUGUAGAUUUUCC